Molecule: ribosomal RNA, 327 nt
Filed under: uncultured eukaryote
Lineage: Eukaryota
Description: partial 18S ribosomal RNA
Rfam family: Eukaryotic small subunit ribosomal RNA
Source: RNAcentral
CCCUUAGAUGUUCUGGGCCGCACGCGCGCUACACUGGCGGAUUCAACGAGCUUACAACCUUGGCCGAAAGGUCUGGGUAAUCUCCAAAAUCCGUCGUGAUGGGGAUAGAUUAUUGCAAUUAUUAAUCUUCAACGAGGAAUGCCUAGUAAGCGCAAGUCAUCAGCUUGCGUUGAUUACGUCCCUGCCCUUUGUACACACCGCCCGUCGCUCCUACCGAUUGAAUGGUCCGGUGAAGCGUUUGGACUAUGGUUUUCUGAUGGUCCGCCGUUGGAUUACCGUGGGAAGUUCGUUAAACCUUAUCAUUUAGAGGAAGGAGAAGUCGUAACA